This 253-nucleotide ribosomal RNA is filed under the name uncultured bacterium. RNAcentral describes it as "partial 16S ribosomal RNA". It matches the Rfam family "Bacterial small subunit ribosomal RNA", at positions 524 to 776 of the family's 1533-position model. The record is from RNAcentral.
GACGAACCGUGCGAACGUUGUUCGGAAUCACUGGGCUUAAAGGGCGCGUAGGCGGGUGACCAAGUCAGGGGUGAAAUCUUUCGGCCCAACCGGAAAAGUGCCUCUGAUACUGGUCGUCUUGAGGGAGGUAGGGGUCGAGGGAACUGGUGGUGGAGCGGUGAAAUGCGUAGAUAUCAUCUGGAAUACCGGAGGCGAAGGCGGCUCACUGGGAGUUUUCUGACGCUGAGGAACGAAAGCCAGGGUAGCGAACGGG